Molecule: long non-coding RNA, 1308 nt
Organism: Mus musculus (house mouse)
Lineage: Eukaryota; Metazoa; Chordata; Mammalia; Rodentia; Muridae
Product: predicted gene, 30778
Exons: 4
Source: RefSeq, a predicted model, not a curated record
AUUCCCCAGUAUAGGGGGACGCUAGAGCAGUGAGGCAGGAGUGGGUGAGUGGUUGGGACAGCACCCUCAUACUGGUAAAGACAGCAACAUCCACGCAAGUGCUUAACACUCUACAGUUUGGAUCCUGGUUUGAAUAUAACGGACAAAGGAACUAAGUGGCAGCACUCAUCUCUCUACUUCCUGACUCUGGACACAAUACGAUGAGCCUCAACAUCUCCAGUUGUCAUGACUUCCCUGCCCUGAUGGACUGAGCUCUCGAAUUAUACUCAAAAUAAACCCUUCUUCACACAUGUAUUCAAUAUAAAGAAGUUAAUGCAUAAUACACUUACCGACAGUAAAAAUCUGCCAAGAAGAAAGGUAUCAAGUAACGCCCUGCGUGACUGGUCUGAUUAAUUGUACUCAAGUCUAGCGUACAUACAAAUGACAUGUAGAAUGUGAUAAAGCAAAGCUUGCAAGGAACUUCACUUUUGGUGUCUGAAUCUAUAUGUUCUAACCACUGGUUACAUCAGUACCACAUCUGACCCCAACCCUUUAUCAACAACCAAAAUUCAACUGAGACGUCACCUCCCAUUGGACCAUUCCUUUGGAAGUCUCAGCUUAUAUUUGGUUUCUGUAACUCUAAGACAGCUUGAAAGACAGAAUGUACAUGAUAGGUUGGACAGAGAAGUUAAAUAAAAACAUAUUUUUGACUAGAGAUUGGAAGAAUGAGGGUGUAAAGGUUAGAGUUAAACAGCGAUCUAUGGAAAGCAUCAACUAACACAAAGUCUAACACAGCUGUGGAUCCAGAACUGUUACCAGACAUUGGCUGACAUGAUGUGAAUCUCAGCAGGCAUCAGAGACGUUCCUCUAGUACUGUACUGUUGUCCUUCCGCGGGACGGAGAGCAUACUUCACCAGAGACAGUUUCCCUACCCACCACUCCCCCUUUUUGGCCCUGGCGUUCCCCUGUACUGGGGCAUAUAAUGGACACAGAGUGUGUAUCUGAAUGUAAUUUUGUCAAAGUGAGCAUAAGACUUUUAUAUUACAGAAACAAAGAAAUUAAGUGAUAAUAUAUUAAGGCCAUUCAAGGUACAUUGAAGUUAUCUGAUGCAAAAUUACUUUUACACACAACAGAGGAAUGCGUACUUAAAAGCUAACAGUAACCAACUGGUAUAAAAUCAAUGUUAACAAUUGGGGUCAAAAACAGCCCCACCUAAGGUCAGCUUAAUCUUAGAAGUCAGGGGCCAGGGCUUCAUGCCAUUUCCAUAGUUCCAAUUCUAGCCUAUUGUAUAGUCCACCUUCCCCCUAGGCCAUUGUAAAUUCCUGUAUA